RNAcentral lists this ribosomal RNA (497 nucleotides) under uncultured bacterium. Its description in RNAcentral is "partial 16S ribosomal RNA". It matches the Rfam family "Bacterial small subunit ribosomal RNA", at positions 28 to 507 of the family's 1533-position model. The record is from RNAcentral.
GAUGAACGCUGGCGGCGUGCCUAAUACAUGCAAGUCGAGCGAACGGACGAGAAGCUUGCUUCUCUGAUGUUAGCGGCGGACGGGUGAGUAACACGUGGAUAACCUACCUAUAAGACUGGGAUAACUUCGGGAAACCGGAGCUAAUGCCGGAUAAUAUUUUGAACCGCAUGGUUCAAAAGUGAAAGACGGUCUUGCUGUCACUUAUAGAUGGAUCCGCGCUGCAUUAGCUAGUUGGUAAGGUAACGGCUUACCAAGGCAACGAUGCAUAGCCGACCUGAGAGGGUGAUCGGCCACACUGGAACUGAGACACGGUCCAGACUCCUACGGGAGGCAGCAGUGGGGAAUCUUCCGCAAUGGGCGAAAGCCUGACGGAGCAACGCCGCGUGAGUGAUGAAGGUCUUCGGAUCGUAAAACUCUGUUAUUAGGGAAGAACAUAUGUGUAAGUAACUGUGCACAUCUUGACGGUACCUAAUCAGAAAGCCACGGCUAACUACGUG